AUUUUUCAGGGCCACAUGCCAACAGUUCAGCUCUUAAAAAAGUAUGACCUUAUGCAGUUUGCUGAAGUAACAAAGUCUGUGAGUGAAGGCAAUCUCCUCGCCGAACGAUGCUUCCACAAAGCAUGAGACCUUCUUUAUUCGAUGUGGAAUCUUUCUCAUCCUGGAGAAGCUGAAAAUCAUCACGUACAGAAAUCUCUUCAAGAAAGUAUAUUUACUGCUCAAAACCCAUCAGCUCUCUCUAGAUGCCUUUCUGAUUGCCCUGAAGUUCAUGCAAGUGGAUGAUGUUGACAUUGAUGAAGUCCAGUGCAUUUUAGCCAACCUUAUAUAUAUGGGUCACAUUAAAGGCUACAUAUCCCAUCAGCACCAGAAGCUUGUGGUCAGUAAGCAGAACCCAUUUCCUCCACUGUCAACAGUGUGUUGAGUUUUGCAUCUUAGCCAUUCAGACUCUUCUCAGAGACUCAGCCUGCCCAGUGCUGAUCACAGCUCCUGGUCACCCCAGAAACACUGUAAGUGACCUGGUUCAUGUCCAGGGCUGGAAUACCAGGAACUGUUUGUGGCUCCUUUCCCAGAAUGACCAAGGCUGCCAGUGUUACAAAGUGCAUUGGAAUGAAAUGCUAACUUUGAAAUGGUAGUGUCCACAGGCUUUUCUGGAUCACUCCAAGUAUUCCAUGAAGAGAUAAAGCAAAGCAUUCCAAA
Long non-coding RNA from Acanthisitta chloris (rifleman), 696 nucleotides. RefSeq lists it as uncharacterized. The transcript is spliced from 4 exons. The record is from RefSeq and is a predicted model, not a curated record. NCBI's taxonomy places the organism in Eukaryota, Metazoa, Chordata, Aves, Passeriformes, Acanthisittidae.